Actinia tenebrosa (Australian red waratah sea anemone) is the source of this 1498-nucleotide long non-coding RNA. RefSeq lists it as uncharacterized. The record is from RefSeq and is a predicted model, not a curated record. NCBI's taxonomy places the organism in Eukaryota, Metazoa, Cnidaria, Anthozoa, Actiniaria, Actiniidae.
CCACAUCCAAGAUGGCGAAUCAAAUGUUCAGAUUCGCAGGAAAGUUCAAUUUGGUUGGCAAAUAUCUAAUCAUUGGUGCAAAGAUUAUAAAAAAAGUUCAAAUAUUCAAGCAGUGUACACGCAGAGGGCUGUUUAGCUUGAAUCGUCCAAUGUUUAGGGAUAAUUUAACGAACACAGCGUGCGUAGCUCAGACUCAUUUAUAUUCCAAAUGGCUUCAAAACCUUUCUUUGUAAUACAAGACAAAAAUACAGCAGUGUGUUGGAAGAUUUGAUGGAGACACAAGAACAGCCACAGCUAACAGUAGGUGCCACAGAACAGAAGAACGAUUGGUGCUAAUAGACUGAAUUGCAAGGGAAUCUGGUAGUAUUAUGUGCCGUCGUAAAGAGUUGCGAAAUUUUGAGCUGGCCGCGUGUCCUAUGAUGUUGACUUGCAAGGUUUUGUCAAUGACGUUCGAGGCUUCAAGUGUUUAUUCAAAUAUAGGUGAGGUUAUUUUGUAAUAUCUUCUUCCGAGUAACCAAACAAGACCAAGGGAGUAGAAUAGCCGAAGAGAACAAUCCCCUUACAGCUGUGUGUAUCGUGAAAUAUCCCUCUAUACACUACCAUUAUCAAGCUCUUCUGUCUUUUACACUGUGUGUUUUUACGCGAGUGUACGGUUUGUUUACUAAGCUGUAGCCUUUUCAACAUUCACAAGACAGCUCUACUUUGCAACAACCAAACACCUGACAAGCAAUAUUUACGUACAGAAUGAUAUUUGAAAGAACAUGUCAUUCAGCUUUAAAGAGAACACUUUCCACGCCCAUUUCACUACGAUUCUUAUAAACAGCUUUAGCACGAAUGUAACUGCUUCAUAUCUUGCGGUUUAUACUAGUCGAAGGUUAUAUUCAUCUCGGAAAAAUUCCCGGUGAACAAAAACACGAACAAGGAUGUCUCUACUGUAUCUCGCCGUCGUCUUUUCUUUGGUCGGAGUAUCUUUCGGCUUCCGUGGAUCUUGCUAUGCCCCUCCACUCGUCUACGGUGGUACAUGUUGGUCCAGUACGGCAAUAUUUGGAAGCUCCAGCACGCGUGUGAAGUACUCAGUAUCUGUAAAGGGUGACACCAUGGUUUGCUGUAAAGCCCUGGCUUGUGGUACGGGAAGCAGCUGCUCUUCAUGGGGCUGGUAUUCCAUGGGAUGCUUCGGUGGAUCUGGAUCGUGGUCGUUCCCUUGGGGAAGCAAUGUGGGGAGCCCAGCUAUUAAGUGUAAAGGGAGUCCUCUAGGAAGCGCCCUUGAAUGGUCUCAUUAAAGCCGAUCGAUCGCACCUUGGUAUCUAUAGUCAAACAUAGCUAACAUACGUAGUCGGGAUAGGAAGCUACCGCUAACCAGGCUAACCAUCGUCAUUUACAGGAUAACUGUUGUCCUGCCAUAUAUUCACUACUCUUAUCAAUGAACGUGGGUUUUGCAUUUAUCAUAGAAAAUGCCGAAGUGGAAAUAAAAAGCUCAUUAUUGGGAUCAGUAUGCUUC